Long non-coding RNA from Culex quinquefasciatus (southern house mosquito), 424 nucleotides. RefSeq lists it as uncharacterized. The transcript is spliced from 3 exons. Lineage: Eukaryota; Metazoa; Arthropoda; Insecta; Diptera; Culicidae. The record is from RefSeq and is a predicted model, not a curated record.
CCGCGCGUGUUUGAUCCUGUUUGUGUGGCGCAGUUGAAAUCAAAAAUUCUCAAGUCGAAUCGCGUGUGCUCGUGAAGGAACAACAUCCGGCGUUCGGAACAAAUACACCGGGUGACCGAAUCGGAACGGCUCUGGGAUGGCGGAAUUUUCGCAUAUUUGGGGACUUCUUCUACCAGGCCCGGCGCCUGCUGCGGACACUUCCGGCCGGAUUUGUUCAGGAUGGUCGUUUCGUCUGGAGGCGAAAAUCGUUAGGGGCCUAUUCCACUGAGGAUUGUGCUUCAUAAAUACGCGAGAGUUCAUCCCAAGUACGAAGCAGUAGUUCUGGCACCGGCUACAAACAUUUCGAACAACGUCAGAAAGUUCGGAUUGAAGCAGAAUAUUAAAAGAAAACGACGCGGAAAAAAAGUACUAUUUUUUUUAAAUC